AUAUAAAAAGCGAGAAAUUUGCGUUCGGUUUCGGCCCGUUGUUUGGGGGUGUAAGUCCCUCUUUAUAUU
RNAcentral lists this transfer RNA (69 nucleotides) under Tonna galea. Its description in RNAcentral is "tRNA-Arg". Lineage: Eukaryota; Metazoa; Mollusca; Gastropoda; Littorinimorpha; Tonnidae. The record is from RNAcentral.